GGAAAAUAUUGGGAGAUGCUUCUUGAAUAAUUAGUUUCAAUGGCAUCCAGAAAAAUGAUGCACAGGGAAUGCUAAAAACCAAGGAACUUCGUAAAAAUAAAAAAAGGUUGGAAAAGAAAAUGUAGCUUACAACAAGAAAAGAAAGAGAGCUGUUAUUUGGACGCAUUGAAAGUUAUCUCUUGGGCGUUGAGGAUGCUUAUCUCAGAAAAUGCAAAAAAUCAAGGAACUUCGUAAAAAGAAGAUCGAAGGGGUGCAACAAGAGAAGAAGUAAGUAUGUUGCUUGGACUCAUUGAUAUCUAAGGGC
Molecule: long non-coding RNA, 304 nt
Organism: Papaver somniferum (opium poppy)
Lineage: Eukaryota; Viridiplantae; Streptophyta; Magnoliopsida; Ranunculales; Papaveraceae
Exons: 3
Source: RefSeq, a predicted model, not a curated record